This is a non-coding RNA of Lolium perenne, 751 nucleotides long. NCBI's taxonomy places the organism in Eukaryota, Viridiplantae, Streptophyta, Magnoliopsida, Poales, Poaceae. The record is from RefSeq and is a predicted model, not a curated record.
GGUUCACUCGCGUAUCCUUGACAGUCCAGCGGGCUUCAAAUCGCUCUCUACAGCUCCAUCUUUAGGCAAGUUCAUUUGUACGGUGCACAUAAUAGCUUCGUGUUAGCCUGCAAACAUUGCCGUCUCAGGCUGUGAGGAAGUUGUAAAUAAUUGCUUGCUCUAGACCAAUCAGGAAAACUCAACAACACACGUGCUGGAGAUUGUUGGUGGAUUAUUUCUCAACGACGCCUUAGUGGCAGUUGGAUAGCACAGGGUUAAAAAAAUCCAGGAGGAUUCUACUUGAGUCCAGUAUUGUGGCUCGGCUAUACGGAGCAACAAUUCACUUCUCAGGCAACAACACUUCGCUUCCCAGGCAACAACAGCUUGCUUCCCACAGAGUAGCAGUUUGCCCCGGUACACACACUGAAGCUCCUAGCCUGCUGCAUCAUCGAAGCCAUCCAGCUCGAUAAACCCGUGCUUAGCUAGCUUGUUUGAUAGUCACUGUCGCCCACAGAGGGAGUUCAGUGUCCACCACCGAGGGAAUUCACAUCGCUAUUGCCGCAAGCAUGUGCAGCUCCAUCCCCCUGUAGUGUGAAAAUUGUGCACAUGAGAUUGAACUACACCAACUUCUGAACUGCAAAAGGUGGCUGCUUGUGUAUUUCGACAUGAUGAUUUGUGAACUGCCCGCUAUAUGACUUCCAAAGUGCAGCAGGCCAUGUGUAUGUGCGAGUUUAAUUCUUUAAUUUAAUACACAUACUAUGUGUUAAUGUUU